UGGGGAAUAUUGCACAAUGGGCGCAAGCCUGAUGCAGCCAUGCCGCGUGUGUGAAGAAGGCCUUCGGGUUGUAAAGCACUUUCAGCGAGGAGGAAGGGUUCAGUGUUAAUAGCACUGUUCAUUGACGUUACUCGCAGAAGAAGCACCGGCUAACUCCGUGCCAGCAGCCGCGGUAAUACGGAGGGUGCAAGCGUUAAAUCGGA
This 203-nucleotide ribosomal RNA is filed under the name uncultured bacterium. RNAcentral's name for it is "partial 16S ribosomal RNA". It matches the Rfam family "Bacterial small subunit ribosomal RNA", at positions 355 to 543 of the family's 1533-position model. The record is from RNAcentral.